CUUUUUACGCACGUUUUAAUUUUUUUAUAUUUGUACCCACUUUUUGAAUAAGUAUUCCCACAAUACCCUUUUAGGGUUUAUUCCGAGUAUUUUCCCAUUCUUCUCACGAUUCCCCUCACCUUCUCUCUAUUUCGACCUUUGAGCUUCCCCUGUCUAUGGCGAGCUUCCCCAUCAACACCUUCGAGCUUCCCCUAUCUGCAGCGAGCUUCCCCAUCACCACCUUCCUGCUUCCCGUCUCUCCGGCGCCGGCUAUUAUUCGACAACCGCGAUUGUGACGGCAGCUCAAUCGAUGGAACUGACCUCCUAUUGAAGCAGACCUCCGAAUUCUUUUUCUUCCCUAAGGAUGGAGCUUACCUCUGAUUUCCAAUAUAGCUAUUUUAGAAGCUUGCUUUCUUAUAGUAAGCUCUACCGGGAGUGCCUUCGCAGAGCUAAGUAUAUUGGUCACAGGGUAAUUUUUUUCUUCAAAAUUGAUUUAUUUAUUGGUCACAGGGUGUUUGCCACAUCAACUCCAAAGAAUUUUGAUGUCUUUUAUCCUUACUUACAUCUGUUGUUUCCACUUUCAUAUCUCCAUGACUUUCCUAAAUCAAUGAAAGCUAAUUCCUUAGACCAAA
Molecule: long non-coding RNA, 611 nt
Organism: Humulus lupulus (European hop)
Lineage: Eukaryota; Viridiplantae; Streptophyta; Magnoliopsida; Rosales; Cannabaceae
Exons: 2
Source: RefSeq, a predicted model, not a curated record